Molecule: ribosomal RNA, 1460 nt
Filed under: Klebsiella sp.
Lineage: Bacteria; Pseudomonadati; Pseudomonadota; Gammaproteobacteria; Enterobacterales; Enterobacteriaceae
Description: bacterial SSU rRNA
Rfam family: Bacterial small subunit ribosomal RNA
Source: RNAcentral
UAAUUGAACGCUGGCGGCAGGCCUAACACAUGCAAGUCGAGCGGUAACACAGAGAGCUUGCUCUCGGGUGACGAGCGGCGGACGGGUGAGUAAUGUCUGGGAAACUGCCUGAUGGAGGGGGAUAACUACUGGAAACGGUAGCUAAUACCGCAUAACGUCGCAAGACCAAAGUGGGGGACCUUCGGGCCUCAUGCCAUCAGAUGUGCCCAGAUGGGAUUAGCUAGUAGGUGGGGUAAUGGCUCACCUAGGCGACGAUCCCUAGCUGGUCUGAGAGGAUGACCAGCCACACUGGAACUGAGACACGGUCCAGACUCCUACGGGAGGCAGCAGUGGGGAAUAUUGCACAAUGGGCGCAAGCCUGAUGCAGCCAUGCCGCGUGUAUGAAGAAGGCCUUCGGGUUGUAAAGUACUUUCAGCGAGGAGGAAGGCAUUAAGGUUAAUAACCUUGGUGAUUGACGUUACUCGCAGAAGAAGCACCGGCUAACUCCGUGCCAGCAGCCGCGGUAAUACGGAGGGUGCAAGCGUUAAUCGGAAUUACUGGGCGUAAAGCGCACGCAGGCGGUCUGUCAAGUCGGAUGUGAAAUCCCCGGGCUCAACCUGGGAACUGCAUUCGAAACUGGCAGGCUAGAGUCUUGUAGAGGGGGGUAGAAUUCCAGGUGUAGCGGUGAAAUGCGUAGAGAUCUGGAGGAAUACCGGUGGCGAAGGCGGCCCCCUGGACAAAGACUGACGCUCAGGUGCGAAAGCGUGGGGAGCAAACAGGAUUAGAUACCCUGGUAGUCCACGCCGUAAACGAUGUCGACUUGGAGGUUGUGCCCUUGAGGCGUGGCUUCCGGAGCUAACGCGUUAAGUCGACCGCCUGGGGAGUACGGCCGCAAGGUUAAAACUCAAAUGAAUUGACGGGGGCCCGCACAAGCGGUGGAGCAUGUGGUUUAAUUCGAUGCAACGCGAAGAACCUUACCUACUCUUGACAUCCAGAGAACUUAGCAGAGAUGCUUUGGUGCCUUCGGGAACUCUGAGACAGGUGCUGCAUGGCUGUCGUCAGCUCGUGUUGUGAAAUGUUGGGUUAAGUCCCGCAACGAGCGCAACCCUUAUCCUUUGUUGCCAGCGGUCCGGCCGGGAACUCAAAGGAGACUGCCAGUGAUAAACUGGAGGAAGGUGGGGAUGACGUCAAGUCAUCAUGGCCCUUACGAGUAGGGCUACACACGUGCUACAAUGGCAUAUACAAAGAGAAGCGACCUCGCGAGAGCAAGCGGACCUCAUAAAGUAUGUCGUAGUCCGGAUUGGAGUCUGCAACUCGACUCCAUGAAGUCGGAAUCGCUAGUAAUCGUAGAUCAGAAUGCUACGGUGAAUACGUUCCCGGGCCUUGUACACACCGCCCGUCACACCAUGGGAGUGGGUUGCAAAAGAAGUAGGUAGCUUAACCUUCGGGAGGGCGCUUACCACUUUGGAUUCAGACUGGGU